GGGGGGGGGGGGGGGGGGGCGGGGGGCGGGCGGGGCGGGCGAGGGGGUCGGGUCUAGCGGCGGGGGGGUGAGUCACGCGUGGGAAUAUGCGCUUCUCUGCGGAAUAGCCGCGGGGAACUGAGCGUAAUACCGCAUACGCCCUUGGGGGGAAAGAUUUAGCGGAGAAGGAUUAGCCCGCGUUGGAUUAGGUAGUUGGUGGGGUAACGGCCUACCAAGCCGACGAUCCAUAGCUGGUUUGAGAGGAUGAUCAGCCACACUGGGACUGAGACACGGCCCAGACUCCUACGGGAGGCAGCAGUGGGGAAUCUUAGACAAUGGGGGCAACCCUGAUCGAGCCAUGCCGCGUGAGUGAUGAAGGCCUUAGGGUUGUAAAGCUCUUUCAGCUGGGAAGAUAAUGACGGUACCAGCAGAAGAAGCCCCGGCUAACUCCGUG
This 433-nucleotide ribosomal RNA is filed under the name uncultured bacterium. Its description in RNAcentral is "partial 16S ribosomal RNA". It matches the Rfam family "Bacterial small subunit ribosomal RNA", at positions 35 to 507 of the family's 1533-position model. The record is from RNAcentral.